This 484-nucleotide ribosomal RNA is filed under the name uncultured bacterium. RNAcentral describes it as "partial 16S ribosomal RNA". It matches the Rfam family "Bacterial small subunit ribosomal RNA", at positions 30 to 507 of the family's 1533-position model. The record is from RNAcentral.
AUUGAACGCUGGCGGCAGGCCUAACACAUGCAAGUCGAGCGGAUGAAGGGAGCUUGCUCCUGGAUUCAGCGGCGGACGGGUGAGUAAUGCCUAGGAAUCUGCCUGGUAGUGGGGGAUAACGUCCGGAAACGGGCGCUAAUACCGCAUACGUCCUGAGGGAGAAAGUGGGGGAUCUUCGGACCUCACGCUAUCAGAUGAGCCUAGGUGGGAUUAGCUAGUUGGUGGGGUAAAGGCCUACCAAGGCGACGAUCCGUAACUGGUCUGAGAGGAUGAUCAGUCACACUGGAACUUGGACACGGUCCAGACUCCUACGGGAGGCAGCAGUGGGGAAUAUUGGACAAUGGGCGAAAGCCUGAUCCAGCCAUGCCGCGUGUGUGAAGAAGGUCUUCGGAUUGUAAAGCACUUUAAGUUGGGAGGAAGGGCAGUAAGUUAAUACCUUGCUGUUUUGACGUUACCAACAGAAUAAGCACCGGCUAACUUCGUG